GCUUUUAUACUCUUGAUAACAUUAUAAUCCAAAAAAAUGAUUAAAAAUCAAAAAUAUGUAGGCAUAUUUAAAAUCACUAAUUAAAUAUGUAAAAAUAUUCUGCACGAUUAAAAUAGGGUCAAUUUGACCCUAUAAUGGGUUUCAUUCGCACCCUAGUGGUAAUUUAUAUGCUCAUUUACAUAACGUUAUAUGUGGCACUAGUUGGAGCACUGUACUAUGUACGAAGCGUUAUCAUAUCGAAUCAAGAGAUAUCAGAAAACAUGUACCUACUGAACAAUUAAAUAAAACACAAGAUGUAUUCACGUGGGAUUUAAUUACAAAACUACAAAAGGCACAAAAUGGACGGCAGUACAGAGUAAAAUAUUACAGUACUUUGGAAUGUUAAUUAAUUGUUAUAUACCCUUUUUUACUUAAAGUUAAUGAAAUAGAUAAGAAACUUAGUGUAAGGCCGAGCGAUAUAUUGGAGCGUUCACCUCAAUCACAUGUUCAUAGUACAUACACAACAGAGUUGGCAUCGUUUUAAACAUUUGUUAUCUCAUUUUAAACUGAUUUUUAUUUAAAACAAGCACGUUUUAAGUAAAAUGAACCUUAACAGCAUUGUUUUACCGUUGAAGUUCGUGCAUACAUCUAUAGUCGGCGCUCCAAGUGGAAUCCUUAUUAAACUGGUGGAACUGAAAUUUCGACUUUAAUCCAAGGUGAUUUAGGUCCAUUUUACUCUGACGCUACUAAGUUUCGACGCUCAAAUAAAGUUUUUUCGCUGAUCUGACCACACGAUAAACGCCUUACACAAGCCUUAACCUUGUAAAUAGGUUUAGGCUUGUGUAACCGUGUAAAUACAUAGUUUUAGUACAUAAUCUAUAAACUAAACAGACAGGUCUAAAUCUAGUACCUUUUCUGCAGAGUAGCUUAUGAAAAUGAUAAACCUGUCAACUAAAUUAACACCAUUUAACAAGGUUUUCCAAUGAUUAAGUAACAAAAAUAUGUGACAUCAAUCUAAUUUAAUAAUACCGGCGCUGUAAAUAGUUAAAGUAACUAAAUGCCAGUCCAACAACUAUAAUAUACGGACAUACACCAACUUUUAGGUUUCCAAAGUGAGCUUAUAACUAUUCCUUUUUUGGACAUACUAGAGAAAAAAGGAACCCUUAUAAGAUCAUUACGUUGUCUGUCUGUCUAUUUAUUUAUCAAGACGCGUCAAGGGAAUCAAAACGUAGGGUACUUGUUGACCUAUGAUCAUGAAAUUUGGCUGGUAGUGAUGUCUUAUAGAAAGUUAGGGUAAAAAUCUGAAAACCGUAAAUGUGUGAAAAAAUGUUAUUUUGACCAACAAACUCGGUCGGUUUUUUUUUCAAAUCUGUUAGGUCCAUUAUGUAAUAUAAUAAUGUACCUUCUUUAUGAAACUUAGGAUUGUGUAGUUAUCCAAAGUUUGUGUAUUCAAACAGCAUUAUUAAAUUAGAUGGACUCUGGUAAAAUAUAUAAAUUGUAACAUUACUUAAUAAUAAUAUACAAAGAGACAUUAAAAAUGAUUUUCACUUAAUAUUAUACCUGAUAUUGUUGCUUGAACACAAAAUUAAAAAUAAACUAAAUAGUGGCGACUAAAAAACAUUCAAAAAUAAAAUUUAUUUGAAGCCUUUCCAAUUUAGUCCAACUAAAGACUUAAGUCAGUUACCCAUUUUUACAUUAAAGUUCAUACAAUUCAAGUUUGUACUAAUAGUUCUAAAAGACAUUUCAUUUAUUUAUUUAGAUCUAAGACAUACACAUGGUACAGAAUAAAAUUAAAUGCAAAAAUACUAAUAAAAUACGAGAUUCAAAAAAUAUCAUUGCAAAAAAAAUACACCGAAAGAUAAAAUUACUAUACCUAAUCAUAUAAUUAAAACACAAAACAAGUAGUCCAAUGUGAACACAAGGCAUACGACUGCGCAUUGUACGAAAACAGAUUUCAGCCGGGCUUGUGUAAUAAUUAAUCAAUCUAUGAGCCGUUUAAAUCGCGACGUUGAUUUGCAACUUCAGAUCGGACUACUUCUUUUAGCGAUCACUGUAAGUAAAAUUUAUCCUAUUCGAAAUACGUGCUUAAAUAUCUUAAAACUAGAUUCCUUUGAAGUGUGGAGCUACAGAAGAAUGCUGCGAAUAAGUUGGGUCCGAAAACUAAGGAACGACUUAUUUUGACGAUCAAAUCAAACACAGAAAGGUCAGUUAGCUGGGACAUGUUCUAAGACAUGACCGGUACCGUCUCCUUCAGAGCAACACGAUGAGCAAAAUUGAGCUCAAGAGAAGUCUUGGUAGAAAAAAGUCAAACUUGGGAAAAUCCGAGAAUGGACCAGGAUAUCCAACGUAGCACAACUUUUCCGUUUGGCGAAAGACAAGAAAUUAUAUGAAGAGAUGGCGGCCAGCCUCUAGUAGAGAAGCGCGAGAAGAUAUAUAUAAUUUAUGUAAAAGAGAUUCAUAAUAGCAAUUCAAAAGAACAUGAAAACCAUAACAUGGAAAGCUGCUAAAGAAAAGAGAGCAUCCAAAAGUAAUGCCUUGUAAUUAUUGCCAUGAGUUUUAUAACUAGAAUAUACUAGAAGAAACUUUAUGUCAAUAUACUCGUAUU
Long non-coding RNA from Maniola jurtina (meadow brown), 2584 nucleotides. RefSeq lists it as uncharacterized. The record is from RefSeq and is a predicted model, not a curated record. NCBI's taxonomy places the organism in Eukaryota, Metazoa, Arthropoda, Insecta, Lepidoptera, Nymphalidae. The transcript has 2 exons.